This 484-nucleotide ribosomal RNA is filed under the name uncultured bacterium. Its description in RNAcentral is "partial 16S ribosomal RNA". It matches the Rfam family "Bacterial small subunit ribosomal RNA", at positions 30 to 507 of the family's 1533-position model. The record is from RNAcentral.
AUUGAACGCUGGCGGAAUGCUUUACACAUGCAAGUCGAACGAUGAACCUUAGCUUGCUAAGGGGAUUAGUGGCGAACGGGUGAGUAAUAUAUCGGAACGUGCCUUGUAAUGGGGGAUAACUAGUCGAAAGAUUAGCUAAUACCGCGUACGCCCUGAGGGGGAAAGUAGGGGAUCUUCGGACCUUACGUUAUAAGAGCGGCCGAUAUCUGAUUAGCUAGUUGGUGGGGUAAUGGCCUACCAAGGCGACGAUCAGUAGCUGGUCUGAGAGGACGACCAGCCACACUGGAACUGAGACACGGUCCAGACUCCUACGGGAGGCAGCAGUGGGGAAUUUUGGACAAUGGGCGCAAGCCUGAUCCAGCCAUUCCGCGUGAGUGAAGAAGGCCUUCGGGUUGUAAAGCUCUUUCGCAAGGGAAGAAAACUUACCAUCGAAUAAAUGGUGAGGCUGACGGUACCUGGAUAAGAAGCACCGGCUAACUACGUG